CAUGGCGGCCACACCGUCCUGCAAGUGUUCGAUCUCAUCUGAUGUCAGAAGCUAAGCAGGCCUGGGCCUGGUUAGUACUUGGAUGGGAGACUGCCUUGGAAGACCAGGGGCAUGG
RNAcentral lists this ribosomal RNA (115 nucleotides) under Mastacembelus armatus (zig-zag eel). The record is from RNAcentral. Lineage: Eukaryota; Metazoa; Chordata; Actinopteri; Synbranchiformes; Mastacembelidae.